UACGUAGGGCGCAAGCGUUAUCCGGAAUUAUUGGGCGUAAAGAGCUCGUAGGCGGUUUGUCGCGUCUGCCGUGAAAGUCCGGGGCUCAACUCCGGAUCUGCGGUGGGUACGGGCAGACUAGAGUGAUGUAGGGGAGACUGGAAUCCCUGGUGUAGCGGUGAAAUGCGCAGAUAUCAGGAGGAACACCGAUGGCGAAGGCAGGUCUCUGGGCAUUAACUGACGCUGAGGAGCGAAAGCAUGGGGAGCGAACAGG
This 253-nucleotide ribosomal RNA is filed under the name uncultured bacterium. RNAcentral describes it as "partial 16S ribosomal RNA". It matches the Rfam family "Bacterial small subunit ribosomal RNA", at positions 524 to 776 of the family's 1533-position model. The record is from RNAcentral.